CUUGGGAGCAAGGGAAUGGGGAACUACAGAAAUGGAAUUAAGCAGCUGAUACUCAGCUAACUGCACAAGGAACUGGUCAUAGCUCUGGUGCUCACUUCACUGAAGCUUCCAGACCUGAGGAAUAACCAUCAUUGCUGCUUGUGCCGCGCUUGUAAAAGGACUUUCAAGAACUGCCCCAGGACAGCUCCAUCGAUGUUCAUUUCCUCUCCCUGUUAAGUGCUUAUCUGUGGCUAGACACGAGCAGCUGGAUGGAGAUGGAGUGAAAGCUGGAAAAGCUGGAGGGAAGCAUCAGCCAAGAGCCAUUUGCCUGCAGGCUGGAUUGUGGCCGGAGC
Molecule: long non-coding RNA, 332 nt
Organism: Melopsittacus undulatus (budgerigar)
Lineage: Eukaryota; Metazoa; Chordata; Aves; Psittaciformes; Psittaculidae
Exons: 3
Source: RefSeq, a predicted model, not a curated record